This 513-nucleotide ribosomal RNA is filed under the name uncultured bacterium. Its description in RNAcentral is "partial 16S ribosomal RNA". It matches the Rfam family "Bacterial small subunit ribosomal RNA", at positions 28 to 523 of the family's 1533-position model. The record is from RNAcentral.
GACGAACGCUGGCGGCAUGCCUAAUACAUGCAAGUCGAGCGAACAGAUGAAGUGCUUGCACUUCUGACGUUAGCGGCGAACGGGUGAGUAACACGUAAGGAAUCUACCUAUAAGCGGGGGAUAACAUUCGGAAACGGGUGCUAAUACCGCAUAAUAUCUUCUUCCGCAUGGAAGAAGAUUGAAAGACGGCUCUGCUGUCACUUAUAGAUGACCUUGCGGUGCAUUAGUUAGUUGGUGGGGUAAUGGCCUACCAAGACGAUGAUGCAUAGCCGACCUGGGAGGGUGAUCGGCCACAUUGGGACUGAGACACGGCUCAAACUCCUACGGGAGGCAGCAGUAGGGAAUCUUCCGCAAUGGGCGAAAGCCUGACGGAGCAAUGCCGCGUGAGUGAAGAAGGCCUUCGGGUCGUAAAACUCUGUUAUAAGAGAAGAACAAAUUGUAGAGUAACUGCUACAGUCUCGACGGUAUCUUAUCAGAAAGCCACGGCUAACUACGUGCCAGCAGCCGCGGUAA